RNAcentral lists this ribosomal RNA (445 nucleotides) under uncultured bacterium. RNAcentral's name for it is "partial 16S ribosomal RNA". It matches the Rfam family "Bacterial small subunit ribosomal RNA", at positions 354 to 796 of the family's 1533-position model. The record is from RNAcentral.
GUGAGGAAUAUUGGUCAAUGGGCGAGAGCCUGAACCAGCCAUGUCGCGUGAAGGAUGAAGGUCCUAUGGAUUGUAAACUUCUUUUGCAGGAGGGUAAAGUGAGCUACGUGUAGUUCAUUGCAAGUACCCUGCGAAUAAGCAUCGGCUAACUCCGUGCCAGCAGCCGCGGUAAUACGGAGGAUGCGAGCGUUAUCCGGAUUUAUUGGGUUUAAAGGGUGCGUAGGCGGACUAAUUAGUCAGCGGUGAAAUUUUGCGGCUCAACCGUAAAACUGCCGUUGAAACUGUUAGUCUUGAGUGCGGUAGAGGUAGGCGGAAUGUGUGGUGUAGCGGUGAAAUGCUUAGAUAUCACACAGAACACCGAUUGCGUAGGCAGCUUACUGGAGCGCAACUGACGCUGAGGCACGAAAGCGUGGGGAUCGAACAGGAUUAGAUACCCUUGUAGUCC